This 21-nucleotide unclassified non-coding RNA is filed under the name Dictyostelium discoideum. Lineage: Eukaryota; Evosea; Eumycetozoa; Dictyosteliales; Dictyosteliaceae. The record is from RNAcentral.
AGACAAUGGACUUACUUGUCA